RNAcentral lists this ribosomal RNA (253 nucleotides) under uncultured bacterium. Its description in RNAcentral is "partial 16S ribosomal RNA". It matches the Rfam family "Bacterial small subunit ribosomal RNA", at positions 524 to 776 of the family's 1533-position model. The record is from RNAcentral.
UACGUAGGGAGCAAGCGUUGUCCGGAAUCAUUGGGCGUAAAGCGCGCGUAGGUGGCCACAUAAGUCCGUUGUGAAAGUCAAAGGCUCAACCUUUGAAAGCCGAUGGAUACUGUGUGGCUAGAGUACGGAAGAGGCGAGUGGAAUUCCUGGUGUAGCGGUGGAAUGCGUAGAGAUCGGGAAGAACAUCAGUGGCGAAGGCGGUCUGCUGGGCCGAUACUGACGCUGAGGAGCGAAAGCGUGGGGAGCGAACGGG